This 801-nucleotide ribosomal RNA is filed under the name Plusioglyphiulus saksit. RNAcentral's name for it is "partial large subunit ribosomal RNA". It matches the Rfam family "Eukaryotic large subunit ribosomal RNA", at positions 1169 to 1854 of the family's 3401-position model. Lineage: Eukaryota; Metazoa; Arthropoda; Diplopoda; Spirostreptida; Cambalopsidae. The record is from RNAcentral.
CAAACGCCGGGUUAAGGCGCCCGAUGCGGACGCGCAUGAGAGCCCAUGAAAGGUGUUGGUUGCUAUAGACAGCAGGACGGUGGCCAUGGAAGUCGGAAUCCGCUAAGGAGUGUGUAACAACUCACCUGCCGAAGCAACUAGCCCUGAAAAUGGAUGGCGCUCCAGCGUCGAGCCUAUACCCGGCCGCUGGCGGCAUUCUUGCGCUGAUGCCCCAGCGAGUAGGAGGGUCGUGGCGGUGGACGUCGAAGGUGUCAGGCGCGAGCCUGCCCGGAGUCGCCGCUAGCGCAGAUCUUGGUGGUAGUAGCAAAUACUCAAGUGAGACUCCUUGAGGACCGAAGUGGAGAAGGGUUCCAUGUGAACAGCAGUUGAACAUGGGUCAGUCGGCCCUAAGGAAUGGGAUAAUUCCGUUCCGAUCGGUCGGGCGUCUCGCCCGCUGGACCGAAAGGGAAUCCGGUUAAUAUUCCGGAACCAGGCUACAGGGAUCGGUUCCGUGCUCUGCUCGGCGCUCUUUUCCCGUUUUCUCCUACCCCCUUUGCGGGGGGAUAAGGAGUUGCGGGUGAGGUGCUGGGCUGGGUCGGAGCCCGUGGCGGCAACGCAAACAGGCUCGGAGACUGGCGGUGGGGGUCCCGGGAAGAGUUUUCUUUUCUUUGUAAGGGACGUACUCCAUGGAAUCGGCUUGCCCGGAGAUAUGGAUGUUGUUCCCGCAAAGCACCGCGGCUCUUGCGGUGUCCGGUCCACUUCCACCGUCCCAUGAAAAUCCGAGUCUGCGACAAGAUCUUUGUGCCUGACCGUACCCAUAUC